UACGUAGGGGGCAAGCGUUGUUCGGAAUUACUGGGCGUAAAGGGCGCGUAGGCGGCACGGCAAGUCAGGAGUGAGAGCCCUGGGCUCAACCCGGGAACUGCUUUUGAAACUGCCGAGCUAGAGUGCGGAAGGGGCAACUGGAAUUCCCAGUGUAGCGGUGAAAUGCGUAGAUAUUGGGAAGAACACCUGAGGCGAAGGCGGGUUGCUGGGCCGACACUGACGCUGAGGCGCGAAAGCCAGGGGAGCGAACGGG
RNAcentral lists this ribosomal RNA (253 nucleotides) under uncultured bacterium. RNAcentral describes it as "partial 16S ribosomal RNA". It matches the Rfam family "Bacterial small subunit ribosomal RNA", at positions 524 to 776 of the family's 1533-position model. The record is from RNAcentral.